GUAACAAGGUUUCCGUAGGUGAACCUGCGGAAGGAUCAUUAAUUAUGUUAAAGCGCCUUACCUUAGGGUUUCCUCUGGGGUAAGUGAUUGCUUCUACACUGUGAAAAUUUGGCUGAGAGACUCAGACUGGUCAUGGGUAGACCUAUCUGGGGUUUGAUCGAUGCCACUCCUGGUUUCAGGAGCACCCUUCAUAAUAAACCUAGAAAUUCAGUAUUAUAAAGUUUAAUAAAAAACAACUUUUAACAAUGGAUCUCUUGGUUCUCGCAUCGAUGAAGAACGUAGCAAAGUGCGAUAACUAGUGUGAAUUGCAUAUUCAGUGAAUCAUCGAGUCUUUGAACGCAGCUUGCACUCUAUGGUUUUUCUAUAGAGUACGCCUGCUUCAGUAUCAUCACAAACCCACACAUAACAUUUGUUUAUGUGGUAAUGGGUCGCAUCGCUGUUUUAUUACAGUGAGCACCUAAAAUGUGUGUGAUUUUCUGUCUGGCUUGCUAGGCAGGAAUAUUACGCUGGUCUCAGGAUCUUUUUCUUUGGUUCGCCCAGGAAGUAAAGUACAAGAGUAUAAUCCAGCAACUUUCAAACUAUGAUCUGAAGUCAGGUGGGAUUACCCGCUGAACCUAAGCAUA
Molecule: unclassified non-coding RNA, 623 nt
Filed under: Rhizopus arrhizus
Lineage: Eukaryota; Fungi; Mucoromycota; Mucoromycetes; Mucorales; Rhizopodaceae
Description: sequence contains 18S rRNA gene, ITS1, 5.8S rRNA gene, ITS2, 28S rRNA gene
Rfam family: 5.8S ribosomal RNA (bases 235-388)
Source: RNAcentral